This 390-nucleotide ribosomal RNA is filed under the name uncultured bacterium. RNAcentral's name for it is "bacterial SSU rRNA". It matches the Rfam family "Bacterial small subunit ribosomal RNA", at positions 505 to 898 of the family's 1533-position model. The record is from RNAcentral.
GUGUCAGCCGCCGCGGUAAUACGGAAGAUGCGAGCGUUAUCCGGAUUUAUUGGGUUUAAAGGGAGCGUAGGCGGGCUGUUAAGUCAGCGGUCAAAUGUCAGGGCCCAACCUUGGCAUGCCGUUGAUACUGGCGGCCUUGAGUUCACACAAGGAAGGUGGAAUUCGUCGUGUAGCGGUGAAAUGCUUAGAUAUGACGAAGAACUCCGAUUGCGAAGGCAGCCUUCUGGGGUGUUACUGACGCUGAGGCUCGAAAGUGCGGGAAUCAAACAGGAUUAGAUACCCUGGUAGUCCGCACCGUAAACGAUGAGCGCCCGUCAUUGGCGACAGACAGUCAGUGACCAAGGGAAACCGUUAAGCGCUCCACCUGGGGAGUACGCCGGCAACGGUGAA